AAUUUUGGACAAUGGGGGAAACCCUGACCCAGCAACGCCGCGUGAAGGAAGAAGGCCCUCGGGUUGUAAACUUCUUUUAUUCGAGACGAAACAAAUGACGGUACCGAAUGAAUAAGUCACGGCUAACUACGUGCCAGCAGCCGCGGUAAUACGUAGGUGGCAAGCGUUAUCCGGAUUUACUGGGUGUAAAGGGCGUGUAGGCGGGACUGCAAGUCAGAUGUGAAAUUCCAGGGCUCAACUCUGGACCUGCAUUUGAAACUGUAGUUCUUGAGUGAUGGAGAGGCAGGCGGAAUUCCGAGUGUAGCGGUGAAAUGCGUAGAUAUUCGGAGGAACACCAGUGGCGAAGGCGGCCUGCUGGACAUUAACUGACGCUGAGGCGCGAAAGCGUGGGGAGCAAACAGG
This 402-nucleotide ribosomal RNA is filed under the name uncultured bacterium. RNAcentral's name for it is "partial 16S ribosomal RNA". It matches the Rfam family "Bacterial small subunit ribosomal RNA", at positions 360 to 776 of the family's 1533-position model. The record is from RNAcentral.